UACGUAGGGUGCAAGCGUUACUCGGAAUUACUGGGCGUAAAGCGUGCGCAGGCGGUUGUGUAAGACAGAUGUGAAAUCCCCGGGCUCAACCUGGGAACUGCAUUUGUGACUGCACAGCUGGAGUGCGGCAGAGGGGGAUGGAAUUCCGCGUGUAGCAGUGAAAUGCGUAGAUAUGCGGAGGAACACCGAUGGCGAAGGCAAUCCCCUGGGCCUGCACUGACGCUCAUGCACGAAAGCGUGGGGAGCAAACAGG
RNAcentral lists this ribosomal RNA (253 nucleotides) under uncultured bacterium. Its description in RNAcentral is "partial 16S ribosomal RNA". It matches the Rfam family "Bacterial small subunit ribosomal RNA", at positions 524 to 776 of the family's 1533-position model. The record is from RNAcentral.